AUUGAACGCUGGCGGAAUGCUUUACACAUGCAAGUCGAACGGCAGCACGGACUUCGGUCUGGUGGCGAGUGGCGAACGGGUGAGUAACAUAUCGGAACGUAUCCAAUAAUGGGGGAUAACUAAUCGAAAGGUUGGCUAAUACCGCAUACGCCCUACGGGGGAAAGCAGGGGAUCCUCGGACCUUGCGUUAAUGGAGCGGCUGAUGUCUGAUUAGCUAGUUGGUGAGGUAAAGGCUCACCAAGGCGACGAUCAGUAGCUGGUCUGAGAGGACGACCAGCCACACUGGAACUGAGACACGGUCCAGACUCCUACGAGAGGCAGCAGUGGGGAAUUUUGGACAAUGGGCGCAAGCCUGAUCCAGCCAUUCCGCGUGAGUGAAGAAGGCCUUCGGGUUGUAAAGCUCUUUCGCAAGGGAAGAAAACUUACUUUCUAAUAAAGAGUGAGGUUGACGGUACCUUGAUAAGAAGCACCGGCUAACUACGUGCCAGCAGCCGCCGUAA
Molecule: ribosomal RNA, 500 nt
Filed under: uncultured bacterium
Lineage: Bacteria
Description: partial 16S ribosomal RNA
Rfam family: Bacterial small subunit ribosomal RNA
Source: RNAcentral